GGGUGUGAGCGUGAUCUGGCUGCUGCAAUACACGUCGCCCCAUUGAUUGUCAGGGUUGCUUAGGCUCAUCUGCUGGGUUCAACAGGUGUUGGUUUCCUUCUUUGCUCCAGGUCC
Unclassified non-coding RNA from Ochotona princeps (American pika), 114 nucleotides. Its record names the gene 7SK. It matches the Rfam family "7SK RNA". Rfam says of the family: 7SK was discovered as an abundant small nuclear RNA in the mid-70s but a possible function has only recently been suggested. Two independent studies have found that 7SK RNA binds the CDK9/cyclin T complex (known as elongation factor P-TEFb). The record is from Ensembl. Lineage: Eukaryota; Metazoa; Chordata; Mammalia; Lagomorpha; Ochotonidae.